Molecule: non-coding RNA, 261 nt
Organism: Cicer arietinum (chickpea)
Lineage: Eukaryota; Viridiplantae; Streptophyta; Magnoliopsida; Fabales; Fabaceae
Source: RefSeq, a predicted model, not a curated record
UAACAUCAGGUGAACAUCAGGUGAACAACACAGCUCAAACUGUGGGCUUAUUAUAUACAGGGAUACUGUUAUGACUCAGGCUUUAAUGAAGGCAGGUCGACCAAUCUUCUUUUCGCUAUGUGAAUGGGGAGAUAUGCACCCAGCUUUGUGGGGUGCUAAAGUUGGAAAUAGUUGGAGAACUACUAAUGACAUAAAUGAUUCAUGGGAAAGUAGGAUUUCAAGGGCUGACAUGAAUGAAGUUUAUGCUGAGUUUGCAGGACU